This 488-nucleotide ribosomal RNA is filed under the name uncultured bacterium. RNAcentral's name for it is "bacterial SSU rRNA". It matches the Rfam family "Bacterial small subunit ribosomal RNA", at positions 35 to 517 of the family's 1533-position model. The record is from RNAcentral.
GCUGGCGGCAUGCCUUACACAUGCAAGUCGAACGGUAACGCGGGGCAACCUGGCGACGAGUGGCGAACGGGUGAGUAAUGCAUCGGAACGUGCCCAGUAGUGGGGGAUAGCCCGGCGAAAGCCGGAUUAAUACCGCAUACGACCUGAGGGUGAAAGCGGGGGAUCGCAAGACCUCGCGCUAUUGGAGCGGCCGAUAUCAGAUUAGGUAGUUGGUGGGGUAAAGGCCUACCAAGCCUACGAUCUGUAGCUGGUCUGAGAGGACGACCAGCCACACUGGGACUGAGACACGGCCCAGACUCCUACGGGAGGCAGCAGUAAGGAAUAUUGGUCAAUGGACGAAAGUCUGAACCAGCCAUGCCGCGUGAAGGAUGAAGGCCCUCUGGGUUGUAAACUUCUUUUUAUAGGGGACGAAAAAAGGGAAGUUACUUUCCCUACCUUGACGGUACCCCUUAGGAAUAAAGCACCGGCUAACUCCGUGCCAGCAGCCG